UGCAGAAUCCCGCGAAUCAUCGAGUUUUUGAACGCAAGUUGCGCCCGAAGCCAUUCGGCCGAGGGCACGUCUGCCUGGGUGUCACGC
This 87-nucleotide ribosomal RNA is filed under the name Quercus acutissima. RNAcentral describes it as "partial 5.8S ribosomal RNA". It matches the Rfam family "5.8S ribosomal RNA", at positions 73 to 154 of the family's 154-position model. From Rfam's summary of the family: 5.8S ribosomal RNA (5.8S rRNA) is a component of the large subunit of the eukaryotic ribosome. It is transcribed by RNA polymerase I as part of the 45S precursor that also contains 18S and 28S rRNA. The record is from RNAcentral. Lineage: Eukaryota; Viridiplantae; Streptophyta; Magnoliopsida; Fagales; Fagaceae.